Molecule: ribosomal RNA, 254 nt
Filed under: uncultured bacterium
Lineage: Bacteria
Description: partial 16S ribosomal RNA
Rfam family: Bacterial small subunit ribosomal RNA
Source: RNAcentral
UCCGGAGGGUGCAAUCGUUAUCCGGAAUCACUGGGUUUAAAGGGUGCGUAGGCGGCUUGGUAAGUCAGCGGUGAAAGCUUCCCGCUUAACGGGAGAGGUGUUCCUGAUACUGCCAGGCUUGAAUCGGCGCGAGGCAGGCGGAAUGUGACAUGUAGCGGUGAAAUGCUUAGAUAUGUCAUAGAACACCGAUUGCGAAGGCAGCCUGCCAGAGCCGUUAUUGACGCUGAGGCACGAAAGCGUGGGGAGAGAACAGG